This 253-nucleotide unclassified non-coding RNA is filed under the name uncultured Gammaproteobacteria bacterium. RNAcentral describes it as "contains 16S-23S intergenic spacer region". It matches the Rfam family "Bacterial small subunit ribosomal RNA", at positions 524 to 776 of the family's 1533-position model. The record is from RNAcentral. Lineage: Bacteria; Pseudomonadati; Pseudomonadota; Gammaproteobacteria.
UACAGAGGGUGCAAGCGUUAAUCGGAAUUACUGGGCGUAAAGCGCACGCAGGCGGAUAAGUAAGUUGGAUGUGAAAUCCCCGAGCUUAACUUGGGAAUGGCAUACAAAACUGCUUGUCUUGAGUAUGGUAGAGGAGAGUGGAAUUUCCGGUGUAGCGGUGAAAUGCGUAGAUAUCGGAAAGAACAUCAGUGGCGAAGGCGACUCUCUGGACCAAUACUGACGCUCAUGUGCGAAAGCGUGGGGAGCAAACAGG